CUUCCAGUAGGCGGUCAAUGAAUUCAAAUAAUGAGCCAGCUGUAUACGGGUAAUCUUUUAGGUGUUGCAGGGCCCAGGUUGCAAUGGUUUUCUCAAGCUCAUAUAGCAGAGAGGACCUCUUGUCUACCAUAGGUCUUUUAGUAAUUGGUGUUUUAUGUCCCUUUAUAUAUCCAAACAGUCUAGGGGCUUGUGGGCUUGUUGUUUAUUUUACUUUCCAUAUGUUUGAGAAGUCUUUGUGUUUCAGUAUUCUCUUGGCUUUGUUGUGUAUUGUGUCCGUCAGAUCAUACGGUAGCUGUUCUGAGUUUGACUGUGCUAUAAAUGAAAGCAAGAGGUUUGUGUAAUCUUCUUUUUUUACAAGGGCUAUCUUCUUUGUCUUGUCAUCCUUAGUUUAUAUAAUGGAGUUAUCUUCCAUCCAUUUUUUGGUAUAUGCGAUCUGCGCCUUAUAUGCGGUGCUUUAGUUUAUUAUAAAAAAAUAUAUACAAAUAUAUUUUUUUUAUAAUA
This 501-nucleotide long non-coding RNA is filed under the name Androctonus crassicauda. The record is from RNAcentral. Lineage: Eukaryota; Metazoa; Arthropoda; Arachnida; Scorpiones; Buthidae.